GAUGAACGCUGGCGGCGUGCCUAAUACAUGCAAGUCGAGCGAACAGAUGAGGAGCUUGCUCCUCUGACGUUAGCGGCGGACGGGUGAGUAACACGUGGAUAACCUACCUAUAAGACUGGGAUAACUUCGGGAAACCGGAGCUAAUACCGGAUAAUAUAUUGAACCGCAUGGUUCAAUAGUGAAAGACGGUUUUGCUGUCACUUAUAGAUGGAUCCGCGCCGCAUUAGCUAGUUGGUAAGGUAACGGCUUACCAAGGCAACGAUGCGUAGCCGACCUGAGAGUGUGAUCGGCCACACUGGAACUGAGACACGGUCCAGACUCCUACGGGAGGCAGCAGUAGGGAAUCUUCCGCAAUGGGCGAAAGCCUGACGGAACAACGCCGCGGGAGUGAUGAAGGUCUUCGGAUCGUAAAACUCUGUUAUUAGGGAAGAACAAAUGUGUAAGUAACUAUGCACGUCUUGACGGUACCUAAUCAGAAAGCCACGGCUAACUACGUG
This 497-nucleotide ribosomal RNA is filed under the name uncultured bacterium. Its description in RNAcentral is "partial 16S ribosomal RNA". It matches the Rfam family "Bacterial small subunit ribosomal RNA", at positions 28 to 507 of the family's 1533-position model. The record is from RNAcentral.